CCCCACCUCAGCUCUAAAGGAAUGAGAGCCAGGCUCCUGGGGAGGGCAGUUCCGCUUCCUGUGUGGCAGCAGAUGACAAAAUCCCUUGACAAGAAGGGCCCAGCCUCUGAGUGUCCACACCCUGUGUGUCUCUGUCCUGCCAGCACCGAGGGCUCAUCCAUCCGCAGAGCAGGGCAGUGGGAGGAGAUGCCAUGACCCCAUACUCAUGCUCCUGGUCUGUCUCGGGCUGAGUCUGGGCCCCAGGACCCACGUGCAGGCAGGGACCCUUCCCAAGCCCACUCUCUGGGCUGAGGCGGGGUCUAUGAUCAGCCAGGGGAGUCCUGUGACCCUCAGGUGUCAGGGAAGCCUUCAGGCUCAGGAGUAUCGUCUAUACAGGGAAAAAAACCCAGCAUCCUGGGUUAGAUGGAUACAACAAGAGCUUGUGAAGAAGGGCUAUUUCCCCAUUGCAUCCAUCACCUGGGAGCACGCAGGGCGGUAUCGCUGUUGGUAUUACAGCCGCACUCACUCAUCAGAGCACAGCGACCCCUGGAGCUGGUGGUGACAGGUGAGGGGACACUCAGGGGUCCCAGCCCCAGGCUCUGUCCUCAGGAAGGGGUCGGCUCUCGGGGCGUCUCCCUCUCACAGCCCAGCCCUGGGGAUGAUGCGGGAGGUGUGAGUCCCAUUUAACAUGGUGCCUCCUUCUCUCUUAGGAGCCUACAGCAAACCCACCCUCUCAGCCCUGCUCAGCCCUGUGGUGACGUCAGGAAGAAGAGUGACCCUCCAGUGUGUCUCACAGGUGGCACAUGACAGCUUCUUUUGUGUAAGGAAGGAGAAGAUGAACACCCCAAUGCCUGAACUCU
Molecule: long non-coding RNA, 839 nt
Filed under: Rhinopithecus bieti (black snub-nosed monkey)
Lineage: Eukaryota; Metazoa; Chordata; Mammalia; Primates; Cercopithecidae
Description: lncRNA (ENSRBIG00000046725.1)
Source: RNAcentral